GUUCCUGAGUAAUCCCGUGCAAAGUGCAAUUGAAAUUCCACAAAAAAUAUGGAGAUACAUCUGAAAGACAAAAGGAAUAAGCCCCCCGUGCUAUAAAUGAUGUUCCUGCCAAUCUGGGCUCAGCUUUGGAAGAUGGAUGCCUGGAUGCCCGCCUAUCCACGAGUCCAGGAGCGACUUGACAGCACAGGCUUCAUCACGGCGUCCUGACUUUCUGAGUCCGGGAUUAGGGAGUGCCUGGUCCUGUUAAUCCCCUUUUAUUCCCCUUACCCUCCGCCGGAUCCCGCUCCGGCUUUUAACUCUGUUUGUCUGUCAGGAAGGAUUACCCGGUCUUGGACUUUUGCUACACUCAUGGAUUUGCCUCGGACUCCCUUGGACUGUUUCCCUCGGCCACACCUCCCCCGAACACCAGCGCACCCUGGACACGCCCCCUGUUUUCCUUCCAGCCCCUUGCAUGCCUUUUACCCCGUGUUUCCCUCACUCCUCCCCUGACUGUGCUGUCUGCGUAGGGUCCUGAAAGAACGCUUCAUUACAGGCUACAGCGGAGAAUAUGUUUCUGGUCUAUGGGAGGGCUGAGGGCUGAAGGGAGGUUCGUCAAAGGAAGACUGAGAAUGGACUUGCCAGUAAGAAGAGGAAGCAGUUAAUGUGGUCAGUAUGUUGGCUGCUCAGAGCAGUGAAAACAAGCCCAGAGAGAGACAAACCGGCAGCUGCACAAACAGUGUGCUGCACACAGCAGAUAACUGCUGCAGUUCUCUCAGCGCGAAGAGGACUGCGCAGUGAUGACCCUUCUGCUUCUCCUGGCACAGCAACAAACAGAGGAGUUCACUCCCACCAGAUCAAAUGGCUUAAAUCACUGUCGCGCUCACUUUGAAGAGAGCUCAGACCACCAAAACAUACAAAUAAAUCUGUGCAGACUUCCAGUGAGGCUGACACAAAUUACACACUUCUUCCCCAAAGUAUUUACCUCCUUCCAAUGAAGUUCCAUUUUGCUGAAUUACCACUGAUGCAUACACAUUAUUUUAAUCAAAACUUCAGUACUCAAACUGAACAUUUCGAAGGGUGAUAGAAGUUAAGUGUCAUCAGAAACUGCCAAGAAACUAAAAGACGUUGAUUGCAAGCAAUUGCAUUCCAAUGACUCACUUUCCUUAGUUAACACUUGGUGGAUUCAGAUUUAGCCACAAUUACAGCUGCGAGUCAAAUGUUUCUGAACAGACACAAGUAGAAAAUCAAGUCAAGGUGCUCCAUCGAGAUUAGAUUUGGGUUAAAAGAAUCCAGUUGACAUGCCUUCCAUUUAUACGGUAUUUGAAAUUCAACACAUGGCAAAAUGUACUGGUCUUUUUGCGUUGAACUGCUAAAAGUUGGGGAAAGCAAUUUUUGACGUGUUGGAAAAUUAUAUUUGAUAAAUCAACUGAG
This is a non-coding RNA of Lepisosteus oculatus (spotted gar), 1410 nucleotides long. The record is from RefSeq and is a predicted model, not a curated record. NCBI's taxonomy places the organism in Eukaryota, Metazoa, Chordata, Actinopteri, Semionotiformes, Lepisosteidae.